UAAUGUUGCUAUUCAUUGUGUAAAAAGCCCGAAUUAACCUGAAUAGAUAAAGAUAGCCAGCAAUUCAUUCGGUGUUUUAAAUAGAUUUUAGGAAACUGUCCAGAAAUUUAUCUUCCAAGUUUAACCCAGUAAUAAAUAUAUUUGUUCUGCCUCCGUUAGAGGCUGUGUGCAUUUCUAAUGUGUAUUUAAAUUUAUUAAUAUUAUAUUUUUCAUGAACCUUUAAUGUUCUAUAUAAGUUUCAUUUUUGCCUGCCACUACUGUGUAAGUCUUAAUCUGAGGACUCUUAUUUUGUGAACCGUGAGCCAGGUAAUAGGAAAUCGGAAGCAAUGAACACAUGGCGCAGCAAGUGCAUGGCAUGUCACGUAUUAAUUGAUCCUUCUUCUGAAUCCUAUCAAAAGCAUUGUCUUUUUACUCGGUUCAAUGGCCGCUAAGUUUGUUUGUGUAAACCGCACAUGGGACUAAUAAAGGAGCAAGGUGCUUGUUUCCUGGCUCUUGAACAGA
Silurus meridionalis is the source of this 501-nucleotide long non-coding RNA. RefSeq lists it as uncharacterized. Lineage: Eukaryota; Metazoa; Chordata; Actinopteri; Siluriformes; Siluridae. The record is from RefSeq and is a predicted model, not a curated record. The transcript has 2 exons.